This 253-nucleotide ribosomal RNA is filed under the name uncultured prokaryote. RNAcentral describes it as "partial 16S ribosomal RNA". It matches the Rfam family "Bacterial small subunit ribosomal RNA", at positions 525 to 777 of the family's 1533-position model. The record is from RNAcentral.
ACGUAGGUGGCAAGCGUUGUUCGGAAUUAUUGGGCGUAAAGGGCGCGUAGGCGGCGUGGUAAGUCACUUGUGAAAUCUCCGAGCUUAACUCGGAACUGCCAAGUGAUACUGCUGUGCUAGAGUGCAGAAAGGGCAAUCGGAAUUCUUGGUGUAGCGGUGAAAUGCGUAGAUAUCAAGAGGAACACCUGAGGCGAAGGCGGGUUGCUAGGCUGACACUGACGCUGAUGCGCGAAAGCCAGGGGAGCAAACGGGA